CACGUAGGGUGCGAGCGUUGUCCGGAUUUAUUGGGCGUAAAGAGCUCGUAGGCGGCUUGUCGCGUCGACUGUGAAAACCUGCGGCUCAACCGUAUGGUCUGCAGUCGAUACGGGCAGGCUAGAGUUCGGUAGGGGAGACUGGAAUUCCUGGUGUAGCGGUGAAAUGCGUAGAUAUUGGGAGGAACACCGGUGGCGAAGGCGGCUACCUGGACCGGUACUGACGCUGAGGCGCGAAAGCUAGGGUAGCAAACAGG
Molecule: ribosomal RNA, 254 nt
Filed under: uncultured bacterium
Lineage: Bacteria
Description: partial 16S ribosomal RNA
Rfam family: Bacterial small subunit ribosomal RNA
Source: RNAcentral